CUACCUUGGAAGGAAGCCAAGGCCUAAUUGGCCCCAUAUUCCAGUGGUCAGCAUGCCUUGGUAACCUCUGUAGACCUGAUCAUCAGCGACAACAAACCUCAUGUUCUUCAGGACUGAAAACUUGUAUAGAUCCAGUGGGUGUGCAACAUAAAGAAAUAUGGAGGGUGGAAAAUUGUCUUUUGGACUUACUCUGUGCAGAAGACAGCCUACCUUUUAGUACUGAGGUACUUUGGAUGACUGGGACUGAGUCCUUAGAGCUAGCUCUGGACAACUGCAGAAUGCAUGCUCAAAGGUGAUCCAUGGAGCUGAGCUGUUCAAACACUUUGUCUCUCAGUCAGAGGUUGAAGAGUGAGCCAAUGGAAAGAAUGCGCCUGACAAUUACAUCCUACCUCCUGGAUGAGCAAAUCAGGUCAUUCACCAAUGCUGUUUACAUCUGUAGUUAAUUUCAUCUUAUCAAGACAGAUGAAGCAAAUCCAUUUUCUGUGAAUAGCAGGGUCUAGCAGACUCGAAUGACAGUCUGAAGACUGGUGUGAGAAAAAUCUUUGCUUGCCUACCAGGGCACAGGGUUCGUGUACCAAAAUGUUUCUGUGGAACUCAGUGGACAACCUUUAGGAGUCAGUUUGCUCCUUUCAUCCUGUGGGUUCCAGUCUGAGACCCCAGUUCAUGGAAUGGUACACCCUACACUCAGGAUGACUUUCUCCUCAGGCAACCUGUCUGCCAACAUCCUUACAGGCAAACCCAGACUCCUGGUAGCACUGAAACUAGGAAUGUUUAUCCAUGGGAAAUUAUUAUAUCCCUUUUAUUUGCCAAAGUGUUUGGGCCGUUGUCAAAGAAUAAAUAUCCCCAGGAGAAUGAGAAUAAGCCAACAUGGACAUAAGCCAUGAAUGACUUAGAAGAUCAAGAAUAUUCAAGAAAGAGGAACUGCCUAGAUGUCCAUCAACUGAUAGAUAACGAAAAUGUAAUAUAUUUAAACAACUGAAUAUUACUCAGCUAUAAAAACAGUAUUAUAAAGUUCACAAGGAUAUGAAUGGAGUUAAAAAAAUAAAUCAUUCUGAGUGAUGCAACCCAGAUCCAGAAAGAAAAUUGCCAUGUGUUUUCUCUCAUUUGUGGAUAUUAGCUUUGAAUAUUCAGAUAUGUGUUCUGUUUGGAUUGUUCCCAGAGAUCACAAGAUUAGUAAGGAAUUAUGGCAAUGGUAAAGGGGGCAAUCAAGGGAGGGGAGAGACACACGGAAUUAUAAAAGUUAAAUGGGUAUAAUGGGGCAGGAAGGCUUAAAUUGGGUGUGAAGGCCAGGCAGAGCAGGGAUUAUUAGAAGGGAAAAAAUAACACUAUAACACUCAAGUUUUUGUUUUGUUUUGUUUUUAAGUCAUAUGGAGCCCUGACCACAGGAUCUCCAUGACUCAUAGCAACAGCAGGAUAUCCAAGAGGAGUCUUUUUGAGGGUAUAGUAUGGGAUGGUGUAGAUGAAGCCAGAGGCCUUCAACCAGACAUUGACUCAUUGCAAUGAACAUUUGCAAGUACAGCUAUUUGGUCAAAGGGGCAUACUGUGUGAUACUUUGUGGCUCUCAAUGCCACUAUGGCAAAUGAGUAUAUGAUGUAGAAGCAGGACAGACCCACAUGUGGAUUGGUACAAGUACGGCAAGACAACAGCUAUGACUGGCACAAGAGAAAGUUAAGAUGGAUAGAGGAGCAAGUUUUU
This 1695-nucleotide small RNA is filed under the name Rattus norvegicus (Norway rat). Its description in RNAcentral is "uncharacterized LOC102547911". The record is from RNAcentral. Lineage: Eukaryota; Metazoa; Chordata; Mammalia; Rodentia; Muridae.